UGUGCUGGCACCAGUGGGGCAUAAGAAAUACACAACACAGUGAGAUGGGGGUGACCAAAACUGAACCCAGAAUUCAAAAGUGAGCACACACUAUUCAAGGUUUUGUCAUUUCAUGGCUCCUUCCCAUUUCAUCCUUCAGAUUACUGAAGUGUACUUGCCUGGGAGUUUUUUUGGGCAUUGCCACCUUGAUUUUGCUCCCUCCAGCCAAGAGUCUUUCCUGUGUUCUUGCAGAUCUUGAAGGAAGGUUUGCAUUGCUCCACGUGGUAAAGCUGAAGAGAGGGAAUUGUACAUGAGAAAACUCAUCAGAAUGCCCACUGCCAUCUCUCAUUAAUUCACUGCAUCUGAUCCUUCUCUUAGGCCUCCUUUCUUUGGGAGAAGAACUGCACAUCUCACAACCCAAGUGUGGUUAUUCCUCUCAGAAGGGAAAUGCUUGCAUUGUGCUCAUGUUGGCAGCAGGAAAGAGGUGUUCUCAGGCUGGUAAUCUGUUUUACUUUAACUCUUGCAAAUUGGAUUCAUUUACAUGAGUUCUCCAUACCAGGACUUUCACCAGCUCAUUAAAAAAAAAAAAUAAUAAAAAAUUAACAUCCCACUCUUUUGAUGGCUUCCUUGCAUGAGUAUUUCUUAUCAGGGUGACAUUAUGUUUGUCCAGAGUAGGUAAUUAUUGGGCACUGUCAGCACAGACAGAGGUAAAUAGAGGUGUAAUGAAAUUGGAGGGCAGGAAGGCUAUUUCUAUACUCCCCACUCUGGAGAGUGGUCAGUAAAUAAAUCAGUGCUGUGAUCAGCAGUCCAUCCACUGACCCUCCCACACUGCCAGGAAAAUAGAAAUAAAAAUUUCUCAUCUUUAGUCUCAUUUCCUUGAUCUCUCAGGGGUUAUGUGCAGCGUGGCUGUGUUACAGGACCUUCAGUGGGAAUAUAUUUGAUAAAUUAUUCUCAUAUUUAAUUGAAUUUUUUGUGAAAGUACAGUUCUGGGAAGCUGCUUAUUGUUUUGUGCUGUUCUUCAGUUGUUACUUUGUACAGUGACUGUUGGGUUGUGGCUUUUUCGUGUAACUUCUGUUCUAAAUUGGAUUUCUAACCAAUGGUUUCUAGGUAAUGAUCAUCUGAAAUGGUUUGGCUUCUUACAGAUUUUUUUUGUGGUGUGGGUAAUUCUUGCUCUUCAUUCUUUGUUCCCCCAGUGUCAGGGUUGGUAGAAAUUUUCUAUUACUAUGCCACAGUUUUGAUUUUUUUUUUUUAGCAA
Cyanistes caeruleus (blue tit) is the source of this 1234-nucleotide non-coding RNA. Lineage: Eukaryota; Metazoa; Chordata; Aves; Passeriformes; Paridae. The record is from RefSeq and is a predicted model, not a curated record.